UCAUCUCAAAAAAAAAAAAAAAAAUAGAAUGAAUUUCUUCAUUGCUGUAAAGCUACCUUCCAUAUGUGACCAAGGUGAGCAGAAAUGGCCUGGCGAGGGUAGCCCUGGUGGGUGAGACACCGCGGGCAGGGCAGGCGGGGCGGGGAGGAGAAUCAGAGGCCCCUUCGAGGUAACGCUGGGCUGUGGUGUGAUGUGUCCCCACCAAAACUCAUGUGAAGGCCUGGUCCCCAGUGUGGCAACACUGGGAGGUGGAGCCUUUAAGGGGUAAUGAGUUUUUUUCUCUAGACUGAAUUAGAUCUUUUUGCAAAACGAGGCCCUCACCAGAAGCUGAGCAGAUGUCGAUGGGCUUCCUAGACUUCUAAGCCUUCAGAACCAUGAGCUAAAUAAGCCUCUUUUCUUCAUAAAUUACUCAACCUCAGGUAUUCUGUUACAGCAACAGAAAACACUAAGAUGCUGUGCGAAUGCGCAAGUCCAUGGCUCCUCGUGGGACCUGGUGUGGGAUACUUUGGCUCAGGGGGUCCAAGGCCACUCAGCUCUUCCUCAGCACAGUUCAGCUCAUCUCUCUGCUGACCAGCUUCCUACACUGAGGGUUUCCAGUCCCCAAGACUUCCGUCUGUAAUGGACGUAACAGUCCAUAAUGGCACCAGCCCUAGCCCUCCUCCUGGACCAAUCAGUGCAGCCCCAUAGACACCAGGUCCAUCCCUCAGAGUCUAGAUUCCAAAUUCCAAAGACAAGAAUCUGACUGGUCCCAGCUCUUUUGCCAGGCCACACGUAUCCAAGGGCAUGGGCCAGCCACUGCACAGGCCCUCUUUGCAUAAGCGAUGGCAAAAUACAGGGUGCCUCCUAAGAACAGUCAUUAGGAGACCAGCAGCUGUGAGGGCUGAUUAGCCUAGAAGGGAACAUGGGAUGUGGCAGCCAAUCCUCUAGCACAACAGAAUUAACAUAAAACAUAAAACAAGCUGGGUUCCAAUUACUCCUUAAAACUGGAUUUCACCUCCAAUUUAGUGGCACACAGCAGGCAUCCAAUAACAGAUGCUGGCCAUAGGUACCUAAGGAUUUUGGAUGAGGGAUACUCGACCUGCACCAUUACUCACUGGAGAGCGUCUGAGUGACCCAGAGACCCACACCCCUUGUUACUCACUUCAUCUGCGGGGAGCCCGACCAGGACAUGUAAAGCAGGAUGAGGAAGAGGAGCAGCACGAAGGCAGCCAGGCUCACCCAGAAGGCGAUCACGAUGGAAUCUGCGGGAGGAGAAGAUGCAUCUCAGCGCUGGGUUGGUGUUGACAUAAAGCAACACUGGGGGGCAGUAAGGAGUCCCGGGGUAUUGUGGAAUGAGGGCCCUGAGUUUCAGUUGUCCUCCAGCCUCUCAGCUGUUACCAUGAGGAAGAUCUCCCAUUAACAAUCACUUUGGGAAAGAACAGAGAAGCCAA
This is a non-coding RNA of Macaca mulatta (Rhesus monkey), 1430 nucleotides long. The record is from RefSeq and is a predicted model, not a curated record. NCBI's taxonomy places the organism in Eukaryota, Metazoa, Chordata, Mammalia, Primates, Cercopithecidae.